UCUGUGGUCACGCAUGUGGCGCACCGCCCGGGGGCGGGCUCCGGAGACGCGGGGGCCAGGUCCGGGGUCUGGCCAGCAGGCUUCUGGCCCGCAGAGGAGAGGGAAGUCAUUUCCAGUCCCCUUGGUCUUGACUGAAAACAAAGUGAGGGUCCCUGAGUUCUCCUAUAAACGAUGUAGUUGACGUCUACCAUUGACCUUAUAUAAAGGAACGCACCAUUGAUAAGUGACGUUGGCUCUCCUGUAAAUGGCAUCACCUUUUCCAUGGCCCGUGGUGAUGGUUCUACUCUCCCAUCCUGCUGAAAGUGAGGUCAGGAGCCCCAUUCAAGAUGGCGGAGGAGUCUCGUGGGAGCCGGGGAGAAGGGCAAGAGAAGAGACACCAGGCAGCAAUGUGGUCUAAACAAAGACCUUCCCAUUCUUCAGGCCCCUCUCCCCUGCCUGGCCCGAAAGUCAGGCAUCCAGCUGGGCGCUGGUACUGCAAGAGAUACAACUGUGACGCUGAACACAUGGUGCUGCCUUCGAGGAGCUCACAGUGUGUCUGGGAGACAAGAUCAUUGGAGCAGCAUAGCACACAUUACAGAAUGCAAUUAACGCUAACCUGUGUGGCAGAGACCAUGAGGACAAACUCGAGGGACAGAUCACCAAUGAGGCUGGAGGUGUUUUCAUGAUGGAGGAGGUGCCUGGGUUGUGAGUAGCCUUGGCCAAAGGGAAAGGGACGCCAUUUCUGGUGAAAGAAUCCACCUGAGUGGGUUCGAGAAUGCAAACAGAGGUGAGGUGGUGUGGGACAGAAAAGACUGGACCAGACGCACCAGGGCAGGGAGCUGUAGAGACUCUUUUGGGUGCAAGAAAUAGAAAAUAAUCUGAUCUAAUUUAAGGAAAAAAGGAAAAUUUAUUUUAAGGCUACAAGGGAGUCUCAUGGGACCUGAGAGAGAGCCCAGCUCACCACAGCUGGGACUUGGACAUAUUAAAAUAAUUUUUGAUGAAUUUU
Long non-coding RNA from Suricata suricatta (meerkat), 985 nucleotides. RefSeq lists it as uncharacterized. The record is from RefSeq and is a predicted model, not a curated record. The transcript is spliced from 3 exons. NCBI's taxonomy places the organism in Eukaryota, Metazoa, Chordata, Mammalia, Carnivora, Herpestidae.